AACACAUGCAAGUCGAGGGGAAACGAUAGAGAAAGCUUGCUUUUUCUAGGCGUCGACCGGCGCACGGGUGAGUAACGCGUAUCCAACCUGCCCACCACUUGGGGAUAACCUUGCGAAAGUAAGACUAAUACCCAAUGAUAUCUCUAGAAGACAUCUGAAGGAGAUUAAAGAUUUAUCGGUGAUGGAUGGGGAUGCGUCUGAUUAGCUUGUUGGCGGGGUAACGGCCCACCAAGGCGACGAUCAGUAGGGGUUCUGAGAGGAAGGUCCCCCACAUUGGAACUGAGACACGGUCCAAACUCCUACGGGAGGCAGCAGUGAGGAAUAUUGGUCAAUGGGCGAGAGCCUGAACCAGCCAAGUAGCGUGCAGGAUGACGGCCCUAUGGGUUGUAAACUGCUUUUAUAAGGGAAUAAAGUGAGUCUCGUGAGACUUUUUGCAUGUACCUUAUGAAUAAGGACCGGCUAAUUCCGUGCCAGCAGCCGCGGUAAUACGGAAGGUCCGGGCGUUAUCCGGAUUUAUUGGGUUUAAAGGGAGCGUAGGCCGGAGAUUAAGCGUGUUGUGAAAUGUAGAUGCUCAACAUCUGCACUGCAGCGCGAACUGGUUUCCUUGAGUACGCACAAAGUGGGCGGAAUUCGUGGUGUAGCGGUGAAAUGCUUAGAUAU
This 660-nucleotide ribosomal RNA is filed under the name uncultured bacterium. Its description in RNAcentral is "bacterial SSU rRNA". It matches the Rfam family "Bacterial small subunit ribosomal RNA", at positions 50 to 697 of the family's 1533-position model. The record is from RNAcentral.